UUUGCUUCGCCCAUUUCUGGCGAUCAUCAAAUUAUUUUUCUUAUUUAUUUAGUAUUAAAAUAACUUUUCUUUUUAUCACUUUUAUUUAUAUAAAACGAUAUCAUUAAAUAUUUUUUUUAGGAAUUCCUCGAAAAAUCCAGCGCCGCGAACUCCGGCGGCGGUGUCGAUGGGAUCGCCACCAUGCCCAGAGGUGCGGCGAAGCUCGCCGGCUCCAUGGAUUACGAGAUGAGGUCAAUCAGGCUUUGUGCUGUGUGUUGGUGUGGAUCAAGCUUCUGCGAGCCUGAGUCAGCAACCAUAUCUUCUGGAAUGGUUCUUGCACUAGGUCAGACGGGCGUGGUGAACACACUCAAGCUACUAAUCUACUAUGUGAGUCAAAAAUCGGGUCUAGUGUUUGUGCACACGCAAAAGUUCUAUAAUUGAGAACUUUCAUUAUGUCUUUUGUGUGGUGAGAUAAUGGAAUUGCAUUUGAUUUGCAUUCAUCUUC
Molecule: long non-coding RNA, 484 nt
Organism: Dioscorea cayenensis subsp. rotundata (Guinea yam)
Lineage: Eukaryota; Viridiplantae; Streptophyta; Magnoliopsida; Dioscoreales; Dioscoreaceae
Exons: 2
Source: RefSeq, a predicted model, not a curated record